GACGAAGGGGGCAAGCGUUGUUCGGAAUUACUGGGCGUAAAGGGCGCGUAGGCGGCUCUUUUAGUCAGGUGUGAAAGCCCUGGGCUCAACCUGGGAGUGGCACUUGAUACUGGAGGGCUAGAGAGUUGGAGAGGUUGGUGGAAUUCCCAGUGUAGAGGUGAAAUUCGUAGAUAUUGGGAAGAACACCAGUGGCGAAGGCGGCUCACUGGCCCGGUACUGACGCUGAGGUGCGAAAGCGUGGGGAGCAAACAGG
RNAcentral lists this ribosomal RNA (253 nucleotides) under uncultured bacterium. RNAcentral's name for it is "partial 16S ribosomal RNA". It matches the Rfam family "Bacterial small subunit ribosomal RNA", at positions 524 to 776 of the family's 1533-position model. The record is from RNAcentral.